UGGUCAAACCGGUAUAAAUCACUGGCAGCAAAGUUCGAAAAAUCAGCCAAUUCCAUUCCAGAUUGAUCGAUAAGAAUAUGUCAAAUUGCACCUACAAGAUCAUAUGACACAAUGAAAGUGGGUAAGGAAAUUAACUCUGUCAGAUCAGGUAUAUUCAAAAUCCAGACUAAUCUGAGAAAGCAUAUAUUCCUAAUCAUUUAUGCAUUGAAUUGACACUUUACAAGGUGUAUACGCCUUCCAAAGCAUAUUUUCCUAAUAAUUUAUGCAUCAACACUCUACUGAGUGUUUAUGCCUUCUUUAGCAUCACUGGAUGCAAGUUUAUCCAUUAUAUUAUGCAAAUGCUUCUUUUCAUUAUAUUACAUUUCCUUUAGGACGCAGCUCUGUAAACAGUUGUGGAAAGCAUCACAGAAUUCUAAUACCCCCUUUCUCAUUCCACUGGAAAUGAACGAUUUACCUGUAUAUUUGCAACCAGUCACUUGCUAGAUCCAAUCCAAGCAAUGCCAAGAAAAUAAAGCCUGGUCUGCAAGUAAGGUUCAACGAGAGUCUCACGUCAGAAAUGUGCCAAAGGAUAGACAGGAAAAUUGCAUAACAGCCAGUAAUGUUUGCCCUGAAGGAUGUCGAAAGCACCUGUCUGUUGCCGUAACAUCUCCAGAAGUUGACACUGGACUACAAAAUCUGAUGAAUAAAUCAAUUAUUACAGCUUACCAUUUCCCCCUUUUCUUGGCAUCUACCAGUCUAUCAAUUAUUACAGCUCCAGAGAGGAGCUAAAAAGUAUUAUAUUUAGACAUGAAAAAAAAACAUAUAUUUUCAAUGUAAAGGAACAAAGGAUCAACAUUUAGGCACAACUGAAUAUGAACCAGUAAUCCAAUGUUCAGUAUGAUUCAUAUAUAAGAGUGCUUAUGACUUGCUUCCUAGUGAAUUUCAUGCAUCAGUAAAUAUUUGAUGACUCAAAGACAAAUCUCCUCCUAUCCUUAUUAUUUGACUUCAUAAAAAUGUAUACAUACAUAUACAUAAAAAUGUAUCCUUAUUAUCACUCAAUUUAAAUUUUUAUGAAUAUGUAUAUAUCUUUGCAAAACUUGCACAUGUAAAUCACCACGUCACCUGAUCAUUAAAGUAAACAAUGUUUAGGUUCUGAUUGGCAUUAGCACCCCUUUAAAUAUGCCCUUUAAAGCAAAUAUGAUGGUAAAAGUAUCAAUGAAACUUUAUUAUUUUAAAUCUUAAUUUAAAAGAAAAAUGAAAUUAGCUGACAAUUGUUACCUUAGUUCUUGUAAUGAAUGUUAAUGGCAGGAGUUUUAUGGUGGAUCAUAGUUACCGGGGGGCAUAAAUGCUAUAGUCAAAUUUGUUGUGACAAAUGCACAUUUGCCAAACUUUUCAAUGAUUGGCAUGACAAAUCCCUUUUUUGUUUUAAUAAUUGUGGAUGAAAGCAAUGUGGUCACUUCAAAGUUAGGAGCCACUUAAAAGUGGCUCCAUAAGAGCAUUUGACAUCUUCCCACCAGAUCUUGAUGAGAUCUUUCACUAUUAAAUUAGAUAGUUGGAUAAUCAUAUUGAUAGAUGGCUAAGAUGUGAGAACUAGAGGGUCUUAACAUAUAGUAAUUAGUGCAGUGUUGCACAAGUGAUAGGUCUCAAGUUUGAGUCGACAUGUUAACAACAUUUGAUGUAAUGAAAAUUUCUUUUCAUUUUUCUUUUAAACAUAAAGCACAACUGAGAAGGAUGAUUGUCCCAAAACUCACAGGUUAACAAGGCGGCCAAGACUUAGAACUGACAGUCCUCCGAUCCUCCCAUCGUAGGGUGAGCUCGGAGCUGGAUGGAUACCUCCCUCCUCAAUAUCGGCCAAGAAAAAAGCCUAGAUCACACGAUAAAUUCGUGGUCCAUCUACCACCAUCAAAUACUAUGUUCAAGAUGAAUGUCUCACAGGCAUUUAAACGAACAUGACGCGUGCAAUCUAUACAGGGCAUAUUGAACUCCAAAAGCACAAAGUGCAAUCUAUACAGGGCAUAUUGAACUCCAAAAGCACAAAGUGCAAUCUAUACUGGGCAUAUUGAACUCCAAAGGCACAAAAGUCCUUGCGUAUCACAGGCUUUGGCCAAUUCGGCUAUAGGAAGUAACGUUAUAGGAUCAAGAAAAGCAUCAGUUUGGAGCAGGAACAUAUUCUCGAGUAGGUUAUUACCUUCCAACGAAUGCGGCGAGGAGGGGCGCGGCGCAGGUGCGGGUGCAACAUACCAUCGGCGACGAACGACAAAACCAAGACAAUCGCCCGUCCCCAUCCAUUGUCGCUGCUGGUGGUGGUGCUCGUUAAGAAGUGGGAACUGUGCGCGGCCGUCGGAAGGGACUCAUCCACCGUGUCGGCGCGUGGAGAGGGAAAGCCUGCAGGGAACAACAAUGCCUGUGUUGUGUUAAGCUCACGGGAGCUCCAAGGAAUUAGGUUGAAUAUAAUUGAAUCGGGUCAAAAUCUAAUUUACUCCGGUCCAAUUAAAAUCUAAUGUAGCUCACCAAGUCAAGCUAAAAUCUUUCUUAUCAUCGAACCGGUCCACUCCUUUCCAGUUCUCCAAAGUCCAACGGAUCGCGAUUUUACGUGUAAAUUAACACUGAACCCGGUCCAAUGUGACGGUCGAACGCGAAGCCGGUUUGUUGUCUCUACUAACCCAGUAAUUAACUCCGAACUCUCGUGGCAUUUGGCCC
RNAcentral lists this long non-coding RNA (2679 nucleotides) under Musa acuminata (dwarf banana). RNAcentral's name for it is "long non-coding RNA (MACU_LNC003784)". The record is from RNAcentral. Lineage: Eukaryota; Viridiplantae; Streptophyta; Magnoliopsida; Zingiberales; Musaceae.